CCAAAUUUCACAUCUCAUUCUUUCCAUCAUAUAAAACACAUCUGCCCAAGAGUAGUUCAUCUUCAGUUUUCAGAAAGCGAGGAAGAGAAGGUAUUUUUGCAUCAUUUCUCAUCUGAGCAGGAUACAAUCCGCAGGUCCUAGCUGACAACGUCUCGGAUAAAGGACAAUUUAUUCUCAGGGACAUGGCAGAUAUGGAGCCUCUGAUCAUUCUCCUUCUGCUAGCAGGACUAGCAGGGAAGACAUCACUGACAUACACAACAGCAAUGGCUACUCCCACAACAACCACAACUGCUCCAACAACAACCACAGCUGCUCCAACAACAACCACAGCUACUCCCACAACAACCACA
Oncorhynchus tshawytscha (Chinook salmon) is the source of this 350-nucleotide long non-coding RNA. The record is from Ensembl. Lineage: Eukaryota; Metazoa; Chordata; Actinopteri; Salmoniformes; Salmonidae.